GUCUGUGAUCAUGCCACCUUGAACACUUCUGAUCUUCUCUGAUCUUGGAAACUAAGCAGGGUCAGGCCUGGUUAGUACUUGGAUGGGAGGCAGAUAAGUAAGUUCCAGAAU
This 111-nucleotide ribosomal RNA is filed under the name Octodon degus (degu). The record is from RNAcentral. Lineage: Eukaryota; Metazoa; Chordata; Mammalia; Rodentia; Octodontidae.